UGCAACUUUUACAGGUGACAUCCAUGAUUCCAAACUAAUUAAUCAUAAGAAGCAGUAGAUCGUCUUUGAUGGUAAAUAGAUUCUUGUACUGAAAUUUCUUUCCAUUCUGUAAAUAAAGUGGUAAUUUGAGCUGUAACAAUGGGCUUCAAUGAGAAAAACAUUUCUUGUAUUUUGGCAUUACACUAUAUACUGGAUCUCUUGAUCUGAAAAAUUUAGAUUCCUCGUAGUAGUCCUUUCUUGUAAAUCCAGGCCUUUGUUGUUUCAUUCAAAUUCAUAAGAUCUGGAUGAUUGGGAAAUUGUUUUUCUAUCGCAGCAACAACACUUUCUUUAUUGUCAUGAUCAGAAAUGUAUUUUUUAUAUGUUUUGAAUUCAAGCAGAAUAUCAUGAACUGAAAGAUCAAUUUCAUCCAUGUCUUUUGUUGCUGCUACUAAAGUUCUGUAAUUUUUUAUAGAAAAUGUUAUAAUAGUCAAAUUUAAUAUAAGUUUAUUUAACAAGAAAUCACUAUUACCUUAGAGCACCGAGUUACUCAGUUGUUUAUGUAGACACUUUACGCGCAGAUAAUUCCACAAAACUGUCUGCUAGUGACAGCAAAACAAGUCAGCAGUGCCGGUGCACUGGCCAGUAAAACAAAGAGAGAGAGGUUACCGGGUGCAGGAAUAACGCGCGGUUGUGUGUAGUAAAGUAAGGUCCAAACGCGAAAUAUUUUUAACAUUCGCGUUGAUUUAAAAAUCAAUCUGGAGAAGAUAAUUUUCAUUUGGAGCCUACGAAUAGUGAAUCAGCCUCAGAUAAUGAUAUCCUUAGCUUGGACAACGAUUUACGGUUUUCGGACAAUGAGCAGACUAUAACUAAUUGCAGCGAAACUACUUCAUCAACGUCUCUUGCGACGAGUAAUUCUAUAAAGAAGAAAAGAAGGAGAAGAUUGCCAAGAAAAUGAUGCGAAAUGCAACCCUGCAGAGCGCGACUUUGUGUUCCAUGCAUCAGGCGCUUGAACAAAAGGAAAUGUCCACAUUGCUCAACUCGCAUCGGCAAUUAUCUCCCUCCAGAUUUGAUGGAAGGAGAAAAUUGGGAAAACGAGAUGGAAACGGAGCAGCCGGAAAACUCGAACGGAGUGGCAUAAGUCAAGGAAUCGACAGUAGCAACUUCAUCGCGUUAUAAACGCAAUGUUUAUAAAGACAUUUAAUAAAAUAACACAUGACAUUAAAAAAAAUUGAUGUUUUCGAGCUUUUUUGUAAUAUCUUUUAAAAUAAAUUACUGCAUUAUUUUUCACUGGAAAUUGUGAUUAUAUUGAUUUAUUCCCUUUUUCACUAACUUACGUUUCGUACUGUCUUUAAAUGUAAUUAUAAUUUUUAAUGGACUUAAAAUAUGUGCCUUUUAAAAAUAUCAAUUUGAAAUUCAACAGUCAAAAUUUUUCUUGAGUGCAUGAAGUCUU
Long non-coding RNA from Trichogramma pretiosum, 1429 nucleotides. RefSeq lists it as uncharacterized. The record is from RefSeq and is a predicted model, not a curated record. The transcript has 4 exons. NCBI's taxonomy places the organism in Eukaryota, Metazoa, Arthropoda, Insecta, Hymenoptera, Trichogrammatidae.